This 403-nucleotide ribosomal RNA is filed under the name uncultured microorganism. RNAcentral describes it as "bacterial SSU rRNA". It matches the Rfam family "Bacterial small subunit ribosomal RNA", at positions 9 to 411 of the family's 1533-position model. The record is from RNAcentral.
GAGUUUGAUCGUGGCUCAGAUUGAACGCUGGCGGCAUGCCUUACACAUGCAAGUCGAACGGCAGCAUGAUCUAGCUUGCUAGAUUGAUGGCGAGUGGCGAACGGGUGAGUAAUACAUCGGAACGUGCCCUGUAGUGGGGAUAACUAGUCGAAAGAUUAGCUAAUACCGCAUACGACCUGAGGGUGAAAGUGGGGGACCGCAAGGCCUCAUGCUAUAGGAGCGGCCGAUGUCUGAUUAGCUAGUUGGUGGGUAAAGGCCCACCAAGGCGACGAUCAGUAGCUGGUCUGAGAGGACGAUCAGCCACACUGGGACUGAGACACGGCCCAGACUCCUACGGGAGGCAGCAGUGGGGAAUUUUGGACAAUGGGCGAAAGCCUGAUCCAGCAAUGCGCGUGUGUGAGAA